RNAcentral lists this ribosomal RNA (383 nucleotides) under Clitellio arenarius. RNAcentral describes it as "partial 12S ribosomal RNA". It matches the Rfam family "Bacterial small subunit ribosomal RNA", at positions 875 to 1415 of the family's 1533-position model. The record is from RNAcentral. Lineage: Eukaryota; Metazoa; Annelida; Clitellata; Tubificida; Naididae.
UAUUCCCGAUAUAAAACUAAACCGGGUAGUACAAAUCACUAUUUAAAAUCCAAAGAUCUUGGCGGUGUCUUAUGCAAUCAGGGGAACCUGUCCCUUAAUUCGAUAAUCCACGAACGUUCUACCUUUCCUUGAAAACUUACAGCCUAUGUACUGCCGUCGAAAGUAUGCCUCAAAGAGCUAGCAUACAAUAAUAUUAUCUAUUUACGUCAGGUCAAAGUGUAGCCCAUGGAAAGGGGGAGAUGGGUUACAGCUCAUACUAAAACUACCAUCAUCUGCAGAUAACGCAGACCAAAGCUGGACUUGUAAGUAAUUUCUUCUACCUAAAAGAAAUGAAUAGAACUCUAAGACAUGCACACAUCGCCCGUCACUCUCGCCGAAAGAUG